This 888-nucleotide ribosomal RNA is filed under the name uncultured Bacteroidota bacterium. RNAcentral's name for it is "bacterial SSU rRNA". It matches the Rfam family "Bacterial small subunit ribosomal RNA", at positions 33 to 916 of the family's 1533-position model. Lineage: Bacteria; Pseudomonadati; Bacteroidota. The record is from RNAcentral.
UCCUUUUCGGCAAGCCUUAUCAUGCAAGUCGAGGGGCAGCAUGAACUAGCAAUAGUUUGAUGGCGACCGGCAAACGGGUGCGGAACACGUACACAACCUUCCUUUAAGUGGGGAAUAGCCCAGAGAAAUUUGGAUUAAUACCCCGUAACACAACGAAGUGGCAUCACUUUGUUGUUAUAGUUUCGGCGCUUAAUGAUGGGUGUGCGUAUGAUUAGAUAGUUGGCGAGGUAACGGCUCACCAAGUCUACGAUCAUUAGCUGAUGUGAGAGCAUGAUCAGCCACACGGGCACUGAGACACGGGCCCGACUCCUACGGGAGGCAGCAGUAAGGAAUAUUGGUCAAUGGACGCAAGUCUGAACCAGCCAUGCCGCGUGAAGGAUUAAGGUCCUCUGGAUUGUAAACUUCUUUUAUAUGGGACGAAAAAAGGUCUUUCUAGACCCCUUGACGGUACCAUAUGAAUAAGCACCGGCUAACUCCGUGCCAGCAGCCGCGGUAAUACGGAGGGUGCAAGCGUUAUCCGGAUUCACUGGGUUUAAAGGGUGCGUAGGCGGGCAGGUAAGUCAGUGGUGAAAGCCUGGAGCUCAACUCCAGAACUGCCAUUGAUACUAUCUGUCUUGAAUAUUGUGGAGGUAAGCGGAAUAUGUCAUGUAGCGGUGAAAUGCUUAGAUAUGACAUAGAACACCCAUUGCGAAGGCAGCUUACUACGCAUAUAUUGACGCUGAGGCACGAAAGCGUGGGGGAUCAAACAGGAUUAGAUACCCUGGUAGUCCACGCCCUAAACGAUGGGAUACUCGACAUACGCGAUACACUGUGUGUGUCUGAGCGAAAGCAUUAAGUAUCCCACCUGGGAAGUACGUUCGCAAGAAUGAAACUCAAAGGAAUUGACGG